UACGUAGGGGGCGAGCGUUGUCCGAAGUUACUGGGCGUAAAGCGCGCGUAGGCGGGCUCUUAAGUGAGUGGUGAAAGGUUCGGGCUCAACCCGAACACUGCCUUUCAUACUGGGAGCCUUGAGUGCGGGAGAGGCGAGUGGAAUGGUCGGUGUAGCGGUGAAAUGCGUAGAUAUCGAUCGGAACACCCAUGGCGAAGGCAGCUCGCUGGCCUGCAACUGACGCUGAGGCGCGAAAGCGUGGGGAGCAAACAGG
RNAcentral lists this ribosomal RNA (253 nucleotides) under uncultured bacterium. RNAcentral describes it as "partial 16S ribosomal RNA". It matches the Rfam family "Bacterial small subunit ribosomal RNA", at positions 524 to 776 of the family's 1533-position model. The record is from RNAcentral.